AAGUGAAUUGGAGCAACUAUGUGGUGAACCCAUCAAACUUGCUUAGUUGUGGCAAUUUCUCUAAUGUACUGCAGAUAUAUAUAUAUUUUUUUUCCAGCAAUCAUGGUAAUAAGUACUAUUUAUCCAAAAUAAAUUUACUAUUUUUCUUGAAUGUUUUGAUACUAUAUUUUGUUGAAUAGUGGAAUGGAUUUUUUGACUGCUCAUUCUUGGUUUAAAAUCAUUUACACAGCCUUAAAACUCGUAGUACAUUUCUAAAAGUUUUAGAAUCAAGAGCUAAUAUAGGCUCUAAAUUUGACUCGUCAAAUUAAUUUAAUGCUAUGCGUAGUUAUUAAAGCCGUGCCUAAGGCUCAUUAGGCCUUAGCACUAGUGCCUCGACAGGAGAAAGGCAUGUGACAUUCAUCAGGUCCUUGCCCUAUGCACCUAAUUGUGUGCCUUGUUCCAAGUGCAAAGUUAGAAAGAUGUGCCUUUUUUAUUUUCACAUUCGGUGAGUACUUUCAUUGAUAAAAAGUACUUUCAUGAGAUUAUGAUGCUACUCUUGAUGA
Molecule: unclassified non-coding RNA, 542 nt
Filed under: Hevea brasiliensis (rubber tree)
Lineage: Eukaryota; Viridiplantae; Streptophyta; Magnoliopsida; Malpighiales; Euphorbiaceae
Source: RNAcentral